AAGUCGUAACAAGGUCUCCGUUGGUGAACCAGCGGAGGGAUCAUUACAGAGCGACCCCGGGGUCCCCCGAAGGGGGUGUCCUCGUCAGUCGAUGCCCACUGUGAACCCUACCAAGCCGUUGCCUUUUCGGCGGGCGGCCCCCUGGGAGGGGACCAAUGCCUCUUCGCUGAGGCGUCCGCCGGGGCACACCAAUCUACCCAAACUCUAUUGUCUCUAGUGAGUCUCUGAGCACUAAAGAAAAUGAAUCACAACUUUCAACAACGGAUCUCUUGGCUCUG
RNAcentral lists this unclassified non-coding RNA (278 nucleotides) under fungal sp. RNAcentral's name for it is "partial internal transcribed spacer region". The stretch from base 1 to 46 matches the Rfam family "Eukaryotic small subunit ribosomal RNA", at positions 1786 to 1831 of the family's 1831-position model. Lineage: Eukaryota; Fungi. The record is from RNAcentral.